GCUUUCGUGGUGUAACGGUAGCACGUUCAGCGCAUAUUCGAGAGGUCCAGGUUCGAAUCCCGCGAAAGCA
This 70-nucleotide transfer RNA is filed under the name Stegodyphus mimosarum. It matches the Rfam family "tRNA". From Rfam's summary of the family: Transfer RNA (tRNA) molecules are approximately 80 nucleotides in length. Their secondary structure includes four short double-helical elements and three loops (D, anti-codon, and T loops). Lineage: Eukaryota; Metazoa; Arthropoda; Arachnida; Araneae; Eresidae. The record is from Rfam by way of RNAcentral.